GAUUCAUGAUAACUUAACGAAUCGCAUGGCCUUGUGCCGGCGAUGGUUCAUUCAAAUUUCUGCCCUAUCAACUUUCGAUGGUAGGAUAGUGGCCUACCAUGGUUUCAACGGGUAACGGGGAAUUAGGGUUCUAUUCCGGAGAGGGAGCCUGAGAAACGGCUACCACAUCCAAGGAAGGCAGCAGGCGCGCAAAUUACCCAAUCCCGACACGGGGAGGUAGUGACAAUAAAUACUGAUACAGGGCCCUUUCGGGUCUUGUAAUUGGAAUGAGUACAAUUUAAAUCCCUUAACGAGGAACAAUUGGAGGGCAAGUCUGGUGCCAGCAGCCGCGGUAAUUCCAGCUCCAAUAGCGUAUAUUAAAGUUGUUGCAGUUAAAAAGCUCGUAGUUGAACCUUGGGUCUGGCUGGCCGGUCCGCCUCACCGCGUGCACUGGUCCGGCCGGACCUUUCCUUCUGGCUAACCUCAUGCCCUUCACUGGGUGUGGCGGGGAACCAGGACUUUUAC
Molecule: ribosomal RNA, 504 nt
Filed under: uncultured fungus
Lineage: Eukaryota; Fungi
Description: SSU rRNA
Rfam family: Eukaryotic small subunit ribosomal RNA
Source: RNAcentral